UAGGGAAUCUUCGGCAAUGGGGGGAACCCUGACCGAGCAACGCCGCGUGAGUGAAGAAGGUUUUCGGAUCGUAAAGCUCUGUUGUUAAGGAAGAACGAGUGUGAGAAUGGAAAGUUCAUACUGUGACGGUACUUAACCAGAAAGGGACGGCUAACUACGUGCCAGCAGCCGCGGUAAUACGUAGGUCCCGAGCGUUGUCCGGAUUUAUUGGGCGUAAAGCGAGCGCAGGCGGUUAGAUAAGUCUGAAGUUAAAGGCAGUGGCUCAACCAUUGUAGGCUUUGGAAACUGGUUGACUUGAGUGCAGAAGAGGAGAGUGGAAUUCCAUGUGUAGCGGUGAAAUGCGUAGAUAUAUGGAGGAACACCAGUGGCGAAGGCGACUCUCUGGUCUGUAACUGACGCUGAGGCUCGAAAGCGUGGGUAGCAAACAGG
Molecule: ribosomal RNA, 429 nt
Filed under: Bacteroidota bacterium
Lineage: Bacteria; Pseudomonadati; Bacteroidota
Description: Bacteroidetes bacterium partial 16S ribosomal RNA
Rfam family: Bacterial small subunit ribosomal RNA
Source: RNAcentral